GACGAACGCUGGCGGCGUGCUUAACACAUGCAAGUCGAGCGGUAAGGCCCUUUCGGGGGUACACGAGCGGCGAACGGGUGAGUAACACGUGGGUGACCUGCCCUCAGCUCUGGGAUAAGCCUGGGAAACCGGGUCUAAUACCGGAUAUGACUCCAUGACGCAUGUUGUGGGGUGGAAAGCCUUGUGCGGCUGAGGAUGGGCCCGCGGCCUAUCAGCUUGGUUGGUGGGGUGAUCGGCCUACCAAGGCGACGGACGGGUAGCCGGCCUGAGAGGGCGACCGGCCACACGUGGGACUGAGACACCGGCCCAGACUCCGUACGGGAGGCAGCAGGUGGGGAAUCUUGCGCAAGUGGGACGAAACGCCUGACGCAGCGACGCCGCGUGA
This 385-nucleotide ribosomal RNA is filed under the name uncultured bacterium. RNAcentral's name for it is "bacterial SSU rRNA". It matches the Rfam family "Bacterial small subunit ribosomal RNA", at positions 28 to 404 of the family's 1533-position model. The record is from RNAcentral.